AUGGUUGGGAGGAAGAUCUGGUCGGCGGCCUCCAAAUCGCCAUGGUGGCCGGUCGACUGUGGAGGGGGUGGGUGGGGCGUGCCAAUUGGAUCUGGCCUCGGAGAUAACAGUGAGAGGGUGGCAGUAUUCUGUAGUCACGCGUACGGUGUUGAGGUGCCGGCGAAGGAGGCGGCAGAGGCACUGUCGCCUACAGCGGACGAGCAAGCGUCUGCAUCAUCCGCUAGUUCCGGAGAUGAAAAAGAGAAGAGCAACGAUCAACUCAUGCUAGCAGUGGCAACUACUAACCAUUAUGGUGUAAGAGGGACAUUUUACCAGCCUCGUACGCCCGAGGAGAACAUUAUGGUGAAGCUAGCCGAAUGGAUAAAGGAUGUCGCUCAAGGCCGCACUGCUGAGGGGGAGCCCAUACCAUCGGUCGCCAUUGUGGCACCGGAUAAGGAGGAAACCCUGGCUAUUGCGGAGAAAGCUUCGGUAAUGUGGAAAGAAAGUUGUUCCCACGGGCGCAGUGUCAUGAUCGACAUCCCAGCAGUGCACAUCCUUUCGCGAGCCCUUCGAACUCGGGACAUUCUGUACUACAUCCUGCGGAAGCUUCAAUCUGUCAAACCACAGCCCCAACAACAGGAAGGUCGAGUCAGUGAAGAGGAGGCUGGAAAAAUAAGAAUUGAUAUUCACUUAAAAAAAUAUGAGCUGCUCAAUGAUAUCACAAAACAAAUCCAAGCAAUGAAGGUGGACAAGAAGUUUUCUGAAAUCAAGGACAAAAUGAAAGGAAUGAAGGGCGGACAGCUGCAGAUCAACCUACAACAAAUGGAUGAAGACCCGCUGGGUCUGCCAGAAUCUGUUAAAGAUGAACCCUUAUUGGUACUCCUUCGAGCGCUGCGGCAGCUCAAGCACAAGCCUAUUGAAGGUGAGCCUACUACCAACCAAGACCAGGAAUGGAAGGAAGACACAUUCACGCACAAAUAUAUCAUCAAGAGAACAGCCGAGAAGCUUAAAAGGCACAUGGAAGAAGAUGCAGGCACAGAGGCAAUUCGUCUCAAUGAAGCCCAUUAUGAACAGAUCCUAAGCGAGGUGUUCCCCCCGGUGACCACCAAGAAGAACCGGCAGAUCCAGGAGCAAGCCACCGCCGUCAGCGCCACUAGCACCAUUAUAUUGGUCGAGGAUCAAAUCAAAAAAUUGAUCCGCAAGGUCCUUCAGGAGAAAUCCGUGCACAAACCAGGUGCUGAUGGUACACAAAGUCAGCAUUGUAUCCCCGAUGCUCUAAUUGAAGAAACCAUAGCAAAGAUUCAGGAAAUCGAGUGCACGAUGCAAGACCAGCUCCAGAUCAAAGGAAUCAUGGACAAAAUUGAAGAUUGUUUGACAAGACAAGAUGACAAGAUCCUGGUUAUCCUCAAACUCGAUGCUGACUGGGUAUCCAGAUGGGAGGAGACCAAAAAUGCUUUCAGCAUGUUUGGUCGCAUAGCUGGUGCAUUGAUGUUGACAUUCAAAGAUAACAUAGCACGAGCCAAAGAAUAUUGCUGGCCCGUGCGGGAGCCUAUAGACUGUUGUCUUCUUGGCCUCUACCAUGAUACUGCACUUGAGCUUACAAAAAACCACAUGCUUGAAGAUAACCCGAAGAUUUAUCUUGACAUCUUGGACAAGUGUAACCAACAUGAAUUCUGCAUGAAGAUCUUCAUUCAUGCUUUGCACGCCAACCCCAAGAGGAGCAAUGAAGAGCUAAGAAAGUUGCACAAAGCCCUGCUGCCGGUACCUCAAGCUUCACACACAUCUGCACACAACUCAUUGGACAACAAUAUCAUUGCUAAGAAGAUGUUCAUGUUCUCUUAUAGUGACCUGCCUAGGGAAUAUAGGUCCUGCUUGCUAUACCUCGCAAUUUUCCCUCGAAGACAACACAUCAGGCGGUCAACCUUGAUAGCACGGUGGGUUGUAGAAGGGUUGAUAACCAAGCAAGACUGGGCCAGUUCAGUUCGGCAUGCCAAUCGAUGUUUUGAGGCGCUCAUUAAUCGGUGGCUUGUUUAUCCUGCUGAUAUUGGUGCUACAGGACAGGUGAAGAGCUGUGUGAUAGGUGAUGUAGUUCAUGGAUUCAUAACCAAGAUCGCCAGAAAACAGCGCAUUGUAGAAACACGCCUGUCACAUUACUUGGCUCGCCACUUCUCCAUUUUCAACAAUCUCCGAAUCCGUCGCUCUGAUAAAAUCAACAGAUUCUUUGAAAAGCUCUAUGAAGAAUCAUUUCGAGUAUCCAUUAUCAAGGUGCUAGAUCUAGAAGGCUGUAAAUGCUUUGGUGGUAAGAACCAGCGGUACCUCAAGGACAUCUGCAGGACGAUGUUACUGCUCAAGUAUCUGAGUCUAAGAGGAACAGAUGUUAAACAGCUGUCGAGUGAAAUCAACAACCUCCGUGAGCUGGAAGUAUUGGAUAUUCGGGACACCCAUGUGCCUGAGUCUGCAACAGCACGGAAUCAUCAAGUUUUGAAAGAUAUUGGAAAGCUAUGGCAGCUGAGGAAGCUUGGUGUGGUUAUUGAAGACAAUGACAAACUCAUUAGGAAUUUGCUUCGAGCUAUCAGCCACCUGCAUGAGUGCCUCAAGUCUCUGUCAAUCACUCUUCCCAUGACUGAGCAAGAUCCUUCCAACGAAGAUUUUUCAGAUACUGUUCUCAAUUAUUAUAAAAAACCUCCCAAGCUUCUUCUUGAGAGCCGAAGCAUUACUGGAACCACAAAAAAGGGGAAACUUCUUCAACUGCUGAUCAAACAUAGUGACGAAUUCCAACUUGCGAAGAUAACUCUAACUGGAACCCGACUGAAGCAGGAUGAUCUAAGGGUCCUCAACGAGCUUCCCAAUAUUGUUUGUCUCAGGCUCCAGGACAAAGCAUACACCAAUGGCAAGCUCACCUUCAAGAAGGACAAAUUCAAAAAUCUCAAGUGCUUUCUUGUUGAGGGAUCCAACAUGACUGACAUCUUGUUUGAAGAUGGAGCAGCCCUUAAGCUCGAGAAGAUCAUUUUAUGCUCCACAGAUAUCAUACAAUCUCUUUCUGGAGUCGAAGACCUUCCAGAACUGAAGGAAGUCGAGUUGAACAACAACAAUAAGCUUUCAUUAUUUGACAAGGCCGAGAAAGUUUCCAAGGUGACUCUUUGUGGUACCAAACUGAGCAAAGAUGAUCUAAAAAUGUUUGCCAAGAUACAGUAUAUGCGCUGCCUAGUGCUGAAGGAGAAAGCUUGUGUUGAAAACGAGAUUUUGUUCAACAAAGAUGAGUUCCCAAGGCUCAACCUUCUUAUUGUCGACGGUUCAUCUAUCACCAAGAUAGAGUUUGCCAGUGGAUCUGCUCCCAAGCUGGAGAAAAUCAUCUGGUCCUUCACAAGGGGCACUGUGGAGAGUCUCCUCGGCAUUGUCAACCUUCCAAAAUUGAAGGAGCUCGAGUUCAAUGGCGAUUUGAUCCCUGAUGAGUUGAAAGAAGCAAUUAACAAACCCAAGCUUAUGCACAACCAACCAGAAAACCAAUACCAAGAAAUGGGAAACAUAGAAGAAAUGGGCAAGGCCGCAAGAUUCCCAUCCUGCUGGAAGAGCCAGGAUUGA
Molecule: ribosomal RNA, 3561 nt
Filed under: Triticum aestivum (bread wheat)
Lineage: Eukaryota; Viridiplantae; Streptophyta; Magnoliopsida; Poales; Poaceae
Description: partial small subunit ribosomal RNA
Source: RNAcentral